UAAACAAAUACGGCAAUUUUAAAAUUAAAAUACGUUUAAACAAUGUUUAAAGACUAAAAUCAAAUAAAACAUUUUAAAAUUUGGUGAUCUAGAUAAAUAUCAUUGAUAUUUACGUGCUAAAUCUCAAUAAAUCCAACCCUUCCAUAUCAAGAACACUGGAGAUUCAAGAAAAAGUAUACAGACUAGUUUUAUUAUAAUUCUCUAUACAUUAAUACUGAAUUUCUGGUCAAGAUUCUUACAAGAAAGAAUAGAGAAUUUAGAAGAGAGAGUGACUUACAAGAAAAAAGAAUUUAAACAGUUUUCGUAACCGCAUGGAUUUAUCAUUACAUCACAAAGGCACAUCCAGUAAAAUGUAAUCCUUGUUGUAUCGAGGAUAUGAUUGGAAAUAUGCUGGAGUACAAUGCCCUAAAAUGGAAUGUUGUAAAUGGAUGAAAAUUGCUCUCACUGAUUUACACAAACAAGACACGCAUGAUUUAGUAGAAGGUACAGAGGUGACUUUAACAAAUUUACAGCAAAGAUUGGACCAGAUUUGAGACCAAAUUUAAAAAAAUUCUAUAGCCUAGGCCUGGUGUAGAAUAUAGAAUUUAUUUAAUGCUAAGAUGGUCUAUAAUGGCCAUAUAUUAAUAUGAUUAUUAUUUUAUACUCUUUAAAAAGAAAAUCAUAAUUAAGGAAUUAUAUUAAGACUGUGUUAAGACAACUCAAAUUUGUUAACUAAAAUAUGAUGACAGUGACCGAGCGGACAUUAGUUUUAAUCAUCUGAAGAUCAAGCUAACUCGGUGAGCAAUGAUGAUGCGUUUUGAUGUAUUGUGGUCAAUUAGUGUUUUAUUUUGCUCUAGGAAACCUUGUAUUAUUUAUAGAGCCUUAAUAUUGCAGACGAUUUAACAAAUAAAACUUUGAUAAUUUUGAA
Sitophilus oryzae (rice weevil) is the source of this 907-nucleotide long non-coding RNA. RefSeq lists it as uncharacterized. The record is from RefSeq and is a predicted model, not a curated record. Lineage: Eukaryota; Metazoa; Arthropoda; Insecta; Coleoptera; Curculionidae. The transcript has 2 exons.